UGAGGAAUAUUGCACAAUGGGCGAAAGCCUGAUGCGGCAACGCCGCGUGAGCGAUGAAGGCCUUUGGGUCGUAAAGCUCUGUCCUUGGGGAAGAAACAAAUGACGGUACCCUUGGAGGAAGCCCCGGCUAACUACGUGCCAGCAGCCGCGGUAAUACGUAGGGGGCGAGCGUUAUCCGGAAUUAUUGGGCGUAAAGAGUGCGUAGGUGGUCUUGUAAGCGUGGGGUGAAAGGCAGUGGCUCAACCAUUGUUAGCCUUGCGAACUGUGAGACUUGAGUGCAGGAGAGGAAAGUGGAAUUCCUAGUGUAGCGGUGAAAUGCGUAGAUAUUAGGAGGAACACCAGUGGCGAAGGCGACUUUCUGGACUGUAACUGACACUGAGGCACGAAAGCUGGGGAGCAAAC
This 402-nucleotide ribosomal RNA is filed under the name uncultured bacterium. RNAcentral describes it as "bacterial SSU rRNA". It matches the Rfam family "Bacterial small subunit ribosomal RNA", at positions 355 to 773 of the family's 1533-position model. The record is from RNAcentral.